Molecule: ribosomal RNA, 445 nt
Filed under: Neolygus tiliicola
Lineage: Eukaryota; Metazoa; Arthropoda; Insecta; Hemiptera; Miridae
Description: partial large subunit ribosomal RNA
Rfam family: Bacterial large subunit ribosomal RNA (bases 319-445)
Source: RNAcentral
GACUGUACAAAGGUAGCAUAAUCAUUUGUCUUUUAAUUGAAGGCUUGUAUGAAUGGUUAGAUGAAAAAUAUACUUUCUUUAUUUUAUAAAAAAAAUUUAAUUUUUUAGUCAAAAAGCUAAAAUUUAUAUAUAGGACGAGAAGACCCUAUAGAACUUUAUUUUUCUUUUCAUAUAAAUUUUUUGGAUUAAUAUAAGUUUAUAUGUUUAUAUUAAUUUUGUUGGGGUGAUUGAAAAAAUUUUUUAACUUUUUCUAUUUUAUACAUUUAUUUAUGUUAUUUUGAUCCUUUAUUAUGGAAAAUAAGAUUAAGUUACCUUAGGGAUAACAGCGUUAUUUUUUUGGAGAGUUCUUAUCGAUAAAAAAGUUUGCGACCUCGAUGUUGGAUUAAAAUAAGUGAUAGGAGUAGAAUAUUAUUUACUAGGUCUGUUCGACCUUUAAAUUUUUACA